UGUUGAGUGUGGCCUAGUGGUUUGAGUGUUGGACUGUGACUCUGGAGUCCAGGGUUCAAUUCCCUGCUUGGCCA
RNAcentral lists this transfer RNA (74 nucleotides) under Phrynosoma platyrhinos (Desert horned lizard). Its description in RNAcentral is "tRNA-OTHER". The stretch from base 11 to 74 matches the Rfam family "tRNA". Rfam says of the family: Transfer RNA (tRNA) molecules are approximately 80 nucleotides in length. Their secondary structure includes four short double-helical elements and three loops (D, anti-codon, and T loops). The record is from RNAcentral. Lineage: Eukaryota; Metazoa; Chordata; Lepidosauria; Squamata; Phrynosomatidae.